UACGGGGGGGGCAAGCGUUGUUCGGAAUUACUGGGCGUAAAGAGCUCGUAGGCGGUUUGUCGCGUCGAAUGUGAAAACCCGGGGCUCAACCCCGGGCCUGCAUUCGAUACGGGCAGACUAGAGUUCGGUAGGGGAGUCUGGAAUUCCUGGUGUAGCGGUGAAAUGCGCAGAUAUCAGGAGGAACACCGGUGGCGAAGGCGGGACUCUGGGCCGAUACUGACGCUGAGGAGCGAAAGCGUGGGGAGCGAACAGG
RNAcentral lists this ribosomal RNA (253 nucleotides) under uncultured bacterium. RNAcentral describes it as "partial 16S ribosomal RNA". It matches the Rfam family "Bacterial small subunit ribosomal RNA", at positions 524 to 776 of the family's 1533-position model. The record is from RNAcentral.